GAAGACAAAUCUGGCAGAAUUAUUCACUAGAACUAUAGGAAGUGCAAAGCGUUCAAAGUGUCGGCAAGUAGUGCUAAAUGCUCAGUGUGUUCUAAAGUUGUGACAAAAUGUGAAUGGAGAAGGAUGGGAGGGAGGGAUAUUUUAUGUCAUUUUAAAAUAUUUUAUCCAUACUAAAUGUUGUAUACGUAUAGGGCAGGAGUAGGCAACACUUGGCACUCCAGAUGUUGUGUACAACAUCUCCCAUAAUGAUGGCAAAGCUUCAAAUGAGAUAUAGUCCACAAUAAUAUGUGUGGGUGCACUUAAAGAAAAAGUGUUAAAUUAUUGGGGAACAAACACA
Non-coding RNA from Pelobates cultripes (western spadefoot toad), 337 nucleotides. The record is from the annotation of a GenBank genome assembly. Lineage: Eukaryota; Metazoa; Chordata; Amphibia; Anura; Pelobatidae.